GUCCAAGGCUUAAUUUCUCAGAGACCAGCUGCCUAGUCAACCUUGGUUGAUCUUGAAAACUAGUCUGAAUAGAUCUUGGUUAGUAUUUGGAUGGAAGACCACAAAGGAAUCCCAGCGCUGAUGACA
This 126-nucleotide ribosomal RNA is filed under the name Notechis scutatus (mainland tiger snake). Lineage: Eukaryota; Metazoa; Chordata; Lepidosauria; Squamata; Elapidae. The record is from RNAcentral.